CCCUUAGAUGUUCUGGGCUGCACGCGCGCUACACUGAUGCGAUCAACAAGUUUUUCCUAUGUCGAUAGACACGGGUAAUCUUUUGAACUCGCAUCGUGAUGGGGAUAGAUUAUUGUAAUUAUUAAUCUUCAACGAGGAAUUCCUAGUAGGUGCAAAUCAUCAGUUUGCAUCGAUUACGUCCCUGCCCUUUGUACACACCGCCCGUCGCUGCUACCGAUUGGUUGAUCUGGUGAAUUAUUCGGACUGCCGGCUGAAGGGGUUUCCUCAUCUGCCAGUGGAAAGUCUUGUUAACCCUAUCAACUAGAGGAAGCAGAAGUCGUAACA
RNAcentral lists this ribosomal RNA (324 nucleotides) under uncultured eukaryote. Its description in RNAcentral is "partial 18S ribosomal RNA". It matches the Rfam family "Eukaryotic small subunit ribosomal RNA", at positions 1470 to 1796 of the family's 1831-position model. The record is from RNAcentral.